RNAcentral lists this ribosomal RNA (253 nucleotides) under uncultured Eubacteriales bacterium. Its description in RNAcentral is "uncultured Clostridiales bacterium partial 16S ribosomal RNA". It matches the Rfam family "Bacterial small subunit ribosomal RNA", at positions 524 to 776 of the family's 1533-position model. The record is from RNAcentral. Lineage: Bacteria; Bacillati; Bacillota; Clostridia; Eubacteriales.
UACGGAGGAUGCGAGCGUUAUCCGGAUUUAUUGGGUGUAAAGGGUGCGUAGACGGGAAGGCAAGUUAGUUGUGAAAUCCCUCGGCUUAACUGAGGAACUGCAACUAAAACUAUCUUUCUUGAGUGCUGGAGAGGAAAGUGGAAUGCCUAGUGUAGCGGUGAAAUGCGUAGAUAUUAGGAGGAACACCAGUGGCGAAGGCGGCUUACUGGACUGUAACUGACGUUGAGGCUCGAAAGCGUGGGGAGCAAACAGG